AAGAUUUUCUCCCUAAAAUCAUGCUGCAGAAUUUGAUUUUUACUGGAAAAAAUCAACGGCUAAUAGUAAUUGUAAUGGACGGCUAAGAUUGAAAGUUAUGACCCGUUAUUUUUAAAUCCGGGUCAAAAGGAUCUGCGCGUUUCUAAACUGGUUUUUUUCAUGACAUAAAAAUUUUAAUUCAAUGGCAAACUUGUUAUUUCUGCGAACUUCAUGCCCACCUCAUUAAGUAUACGUCUCAAAUAAUAGAGUAGAUUAAAGUAGAUAAAAUUUAAAAAUCUAAAUGAUUACUAGAGAGUUUUGUAUAAUUUCUAUGAUUAGCUUUUCUAUAAUCUUAUGAAACUGUCUAAAUUAUAAACUUUGAUAGUAUCUCC
RNAcentral lists this small RNA (371 nucleotides) under Arabidopsis thaliana (thale cress). Its description in RNAcentral is "ATSL278020". The record is from RNAcentral. Lineage: Eukaryota; Viridiplantae; Streptophyta; Magnoliopsida; Brassicales; Brassicaceae.